RNAcentral lists this transfer RNA (74 nucleotides) under Candidatus Giovannonibacteria bacterium RIFCSPHIGHO2_02_FULL_44_11. RNAcentral's name for it is "tRNA-Gln". It matches the Rfam family "tRNA". From Rfam's summary of the family: Transfer RNA (tRNA) molecules are approximately 80 nucleotides in length. Their secondary structure includes four short double-helical elements and three loops (D, anti-codon, and T loops). The record is from RNAcentral. Lineage: Bacteria; Candidatus Giovannoniibacteriota.
UGGGAGAUCGUCUAGCGGUAGGACCCCGCUCUCUGAAAGCGGUAACCUUGGUUCGAAUCCAAGUCUCCCAGCAA